GGAUGCGAUCCCAGCACUAAUGCACACCGGAUCCCAUCAGAACUCCGAAGUUAAGCGUGCUUGGGCGAGAGUAGUACACCCCUGGGAAGUCCUCGUGUUGCAUCCC
RNAcentral lists this ribosomal RNA (106 nucleotides) under Ipomoea nil (Japanese morning glory). The record is from RNAcentral. Lineage: Eukaryota; Viridiplantae; Streptophyta; Magnoliopsida; Solanales; Convolvulaceae.